Molecule: non-coding RNA, 598 nt
Organism: Ictidomys tridecemlineatus (thirteen-lined ground squirrel)
Lineage: Eukaryota; Metazoa; Chordata; Mammalia; Rodentia; Sciuridae
Source: RefSeq, a predicted model, not a curated record
UCCAGCAGAGGGGGCAGGCUGGUCUGAUGACUCUAUCCCUGGUACUCUAUUGAGGGAGAGGCAGGACCAAGGCCCUGAUCUGGGCAGGCUGGUUGUUAGGUGCUGCCCAUUCAGAACCCUGCUGCACAUGUUGCUUUUAAGAAACUCAAAGAAGAGGAUUGUAAUUCUGGGCUCAGGAGCUUAACGCUUGGAGAAGAUGGUUAUUUGCUCCCAGAGAGGGAGGAAGCUGGCAGAAGCAAAGGGCCCAGGAAGUCAGCAGCCUGCCCUUCCAUGAAUGAGCUCAGGACUCCUCAGCCAGUGCCCUUGGCCUGAGAGUGUACAUUCCUCCAGUUUGGACAUCUAAGGGGUUGCAGGGCUCACAGUGAAGUUCCGGAAGUUAUGGCAUCUGGGUGUCACCUGCUGUCACUUCUCCUUCAUACAGCUCCUGGGUGGUUGCUUCAAGCAAUAAUGUUUUUGCUGAAGUUGACAAAUCUUCUGGCCUCUUCCUUCUGGCUUGUCUCCUGAGUUUCACUGUGGUCUCCAUGGAUGACAUCCUCUUCUACACCCUUGUACACCUUUGUGUCAUGUGACAAUUAAAGUAUCAUUGCAUUGGCAUUUA